This 253-nucleotide ribosomal RNA is filed under the name uncultured bacterium. RNAcentral's name for it is "partial 16S ribosomal RNA". It matches the Rfam family "Bacterial small subunit ribosomal RNA", at positions 524 to 776 of the family's 1533-position model. The record is from RNAcentral.
GACGAACCGAGCGAACGUUGUUCGGAAUCACUGGGCAUAAAGCGCGCGUAGGUGGCUUGAUAAGUCGAUGGUGAAAUCCCAUGGCUCAACCAUGGAACUGCCGUCGAUACUGUCAGGCUUGAGGACGGUAGGGGAGAGUGGAACUCCUGGUGUAGCGGUGAAAUGCGUAGAUAUCAAGAGGAACACCAGUGGCGAAGGCGAGUCCCUGGACAACACCUGACACUGAGGCACGAAAGCCGGGGGAGCAAACAGG